RNAcentral lists this unclassified non-coding RNA (1271 nucleotides) under Leishmania donovani. RNAcentral describes it as "gene:LdHU3.21.2260(CDS-product:hypothetical_prote in_conserved)". Lineage: Eukaryota; Euglenozoa; Kinetoplastea; Trypanosomatida; Trypanosomatidae. The record is from RNAcentral.
AAAGGGACAGAGGCAGACGCGAGAAGCUCCUACGUGCCAAAGCACGUACGCGCGUUUCCUUGCGUGCGCCUCUCGCCAUGCGCUCGCAACGGCUGCAACCUCAGUCUCACAGGUUCCGCACACCACUGUCUCUCCCCCACCCCACCACUCGACACAGCCGGCCGGAUGCCGGGACGUGAGCCGCUAGCACCUCGCGGAGGUGCCCAAACCUCGAUGUCUGUCCGCAGAGUCGCCGCCCCAUACGCAUCACGACGACCACCAGGCAAUAACCGGGCACGACCGGGGUUAGCUGUCGGGCAACGCACCGGUGCCGACCUUCCUACCACCACCACCACGACAGCAAGCAGGUCGGGUCAGAGAUCCCCGGUUCCGGCGGAGGCAGCCCCAGCUUGUCCUUGCUGCGCUGCGUGCUUAAAGGCGUUGCAGGAGGUACUGCACGCGUACAAUGCGCUGCUGCUCAACUCAAAGCGACUUUUCAUAGACGACGCACUGCACCACUACAGCGGUGACGAGGCGUGGAUUCGCGUACUGCGCUCGUUGGGCUGGUCCAAUGAGCCGGCUCCAGCAACCGGCGUGGGAAGGAGGAGUGAUCUCGCGCAGAGGUAGUCGGCCUUCUCUCUUUCUUGUGGAGUGCGUGAGGGCAGGGUUGGCGGGAGGCUUCUUGUUGAGGCGUGCCGCUCAUCAGUGCUGUGAGUCUGGGGAGCUGAUGGCGAUGGCGAAGCUUCCGCGUUUCAUGCACAGCUUCCGUGCGAUGUUUUCCUUCGCCCCUCAAAACGGCUUGUCCUUCGAUGGAGGUUUGCCUCCAUCGGACACCAUGCGACUUCCACCUCUGCUUGGCGUGCCUCGUCUUUUUUUGUGUGUGUGCGCGCGCGUGCGUGCGUGCGUGCUUGUGUAUGCCCACGCCGUUACCUACUGUAGCUCACGUGCGCACGCCAACACACACACACACACGCCGUCGUGCGCACAGAGUUAGAUCCACAAAUGGAGAGAAAAGAAGCGGCACAGCUGCUUAUUCUCCCCCCUCCCACACACACGCCACCACCACCACCUCAUGUCCACGGGGUGCACGGCCCUUCGCCAAAGGAAAGAGGGUUGCUGCGGCGACGAAGUCGCACGCGGCUCACUGUGAUUUGGCGCUCUUCUCUCUCCCUUCCCCCUCGCUCUCCCAGCCUCUCCAUCUCUGCUCUCCUCAUCUCUACCCUUUGGGGUCGAUCUCCAUAUUCAUGCGUGUGUGUGUGCGUGUGUCGGAUGCGUCUCUCUGCGCGUGACAG